This is a long non-coding RNA of Loxodonta africana (African savanna elephant), 2861 nucleotides long. RefSeq lists it as uncharacterized. NCBI's taxonomy places the organism in Eukaryota, Metazoa, Chordata, Mammalia, Proboscidea, Elephantidae. The transcript has 2 exons. The record is from RefSeq and is a predicted model, not a curated record.
GUUCGGGGAAGGUCAGGGAGGUGGGGAGCUCUGUCUUGGGAUGGACGAGGCAACAGGGCCAAAAGUGUUGACUGCAGUCCCGGGGUCCCUUGGGGAACCCUGGUCUGGGCUGCCACUGUGCAGGGCUUCAGUCUGUGCUUACUAACUAGUCCAAGAGGACUCUCAUAACAGACAGGGUGUUGGGCAAGGGAGUUUUCUGAAUGAUGAAAACAAAAGUCUGGAAGUGCUGGGUUACCUGUCCUCCCAAGCUCCCCUCUGGCUCCCUCAAACAGCUACCUUGAUUUCUUCUCAGUGGAUAGUGGCCUGACAGUGGUUUAUGUAGGUCUGGGACGUAGGGUCUUCUGUGGAGGAGUUUGGUAUGUUUCCCAGUGGAGCCUCUUUCUACCUUCUUCAGAGUUAGAGUUAUGCCAAAAGAUGAUUUAUCACUCUCUGCGCUGACCUGGCAAAUAGCAGGAUUUUUCCUCAUUAUAUUUACAGGCCUCUAGGAAUGGGAAGCGCCAACCCCCUGGUCUCCUGUUACAAAUCUCAGAACAGUCAAGGACUAGGAGUUCUUCGUACAUGAUUAGUGUUUAGAGCUGCAAGAGAAUGUAGAGAUCAUUUCUUAGCUCAGAAGUGAGAUUUUUCACACCCAUGGCCUUGCUCCUUCCCCUGCAUGCAUUUGAAGAUUAUGAGUCCAUGAACUCAGGCAGGCCUGUCUGCAGGGCUAGGAGAGUCUAAUUUUACUUCUUGGAAGGUACAGAAAUACCUGGCACAGAGUGUGGGCAGGUGUAUUUACCCAGUACUUUGUCAUGGAGCUUUGUCAUGCACAAAGUAAUUUUUUGUAUUUCUUUUCAAGCUCUAAAGAAAAUAAUAAUAGCUAACAUUUAUUGGGUACUUGUUAUGGACCAGGAAACCCUGGUGAUGUGGUGGUUAAGUGCUACGGCUGCUAACCAAAAGGUCAGCAGUUCGAAUCCACCAGGUGUUCCUUGAAAACCCUAUGGGGCGUUCUGUUCUGUCCUAUAGGGUCGCUAAUGAGUCAGAAUUGACUCAACAGCAAUGGGUUUGGUUUUUGGUGUUAUGAACCAAGCACUUUAUAUAUACUGAAGUAUCUCAUUUAAUCCUUACAAAAUACCCUAUGAGGAAGGCACUGUUCAUUGUAUAGAUAAAGACACUGAGUCUUAGUAAUUACCUAACACUGGUAAGUGGUAGAGCCAGGAUUGGGCUCAGGCAGCUGACUCCAAGUCUGUGUGCUAACCAUUAAGUUACGUGGCCACCCAAGUGAUGCUGCUUGACCUAAGCUAGGGAUCCUAGUCCAAGUCCCUUCUCCAGUCUGUUCUGCACUAAGAGGACUUGGUGAGCACCUGCACCUCCUUGGAGUUUGGAGAACAAUAGCCCUUUGGUAUUGAGGUUCGUUAACUGAUAACCUGGACAUUGUUUCUAGAUUGCAUAAUUUCAGUUCUUUCUCAAAUCUUCCUUUAUUUUCUUUAAUUUAAUUUUAUUUAUUUUUUAAAAUUAAUUUUUAUUAAGCUUCAAGUGAACAUUUACCAUUCCAAUCAGUCUGUCACAUGUAAGUUUACAUACAUCUUACUCCCUUUUCCCACUUGCUCUCCCCCUAUUGAGUCAGCCCUUUCAGUCUCUCGUUUCGUGCCAAUUUUGCCAUCUUCCCUCUCUCUCUAUCUUCCCAUCCCCACUCCAGUCAAGAGUUGCCAACACACUCUCCAGUGUCCACCUGAUUUAAUUAGCUCACUCUUCAUCAGCAUGUCUCUCCCCCCUGCUGACCAGUCCUUUUCAUGCCUGAUGAGUUGUCUUCGGGGAUGGUUCCUGUCCUGUGCCAUCAGAAGUUCUGGGGAGCGUUGUCUCUGGGAUUCCUCUAGUCGCAGUCAUACCAUUAGGACAGACAUCGAUUGUGGCCGGGCACCAACUAGUUCUUCUGGUCUCAGGAUAAUGUAGGUCUCUGGUUCAUGUGGCCCUUUCUGUCUCUUGGGUUCUUAGUUGUCGUGUGACCUUGGUGUUCUUCCUUUGCCUUUGCUCCAGGUGGGUCUUUAAUUUUAUUUCUAAGUGCUAUUUUCUAACAUUACACCAUUUUCCUGCACCCUUUCCAGCCCCUCUGCCCUCUAACUCCUCAGAUAUCUCAGUUGUAGGACCAGAAUGUUUAAGCAUUUGCCCUGAGUUUCCUUCUGGAUCAGAUGAGGGGGUUGGACCCAAUGAUCUCUGAAGCCUGAGGUCCCACCCAGCUCUGGGGAAGUGAGAGAGCCCUGGUCCCAUGCUCUGUGUAGAAGCGGGUGGAGGGGAUACUUGCUGAAUGCAUUCUUUUCUUUUUAUGUAUAUAUAUUUUGUAUGUGUGGUAAAUAUAUAGGUAACAAAACAUUUGCCAUUUCAACGGUCUUCACGUGUACAGUUUAGAGACAGUAAAUGUGUUCAUCCUGUUGUUCAACCGUCACUAAUUCCCAGGUUUUUCCAUCACCCUUAACAGAAGCUCUAAGUGAAAGCAUUCUUAAGCGUUUGCGGUCGCAUUGGAUUGUUGGGGCUUGGAGCCUGGGCAAGAGGCAGAAAGUGUGUUUGCAGCCCUGAACUGUGUUGACUGCAAAAAUAGUCCAGUCCCAACUUCAGGUUCAGGGCUGAAAAAACUGGAUUCUUCAAGGCCAAGCUCCCCUCCCCUUGGCCUGCCCCUCCUAGCCCCCUGUUCAUCAGUUGGCCAGGCAGUGAACAACUUUCCCAAGGAUAUCUUUAUUUAGGGUUGUUCACAGCUCUAUCAUCCCUUCAUCUUCUAAGCAAGCAGCAGACUCUUAAAAUGAUUUUUUUUAUUUUAUUUUUUAUGGUGGUAAAAUAUAAAAAAAAAAAAACAAACCCAUUGCCUUUGAGUCAAUUCUGACUCAAAGUGA